This is a long non-coding RNA of Cyprinus carpio carpio, 1127 nucleotides long. The record is from Ensembl. Lineage: Eukaryota; Metazoa; Chordata; Actinopteri; Cypriniformes; Cyprinidae.
AUGUCCGAGUGCACAUUAGCCGAGGGUAAAGUGCACACUCACUGUUUCCCUGGUGCUCGUGUUCUCGAUGUUUCUGCGCAGAUACCCGCAAUCCUGAAGGCCAAUGAGAGCCCCGGAGUUGGAACAGAACUGCUGUCGGACCACAUCUCCAGGACUCUACGCUCCAUAUGACUAGAUUUACAUCCCAUGCUAACUAGGAUUUACACAAGAUUCAGUCUGGAUCGAGAACACCUGAGAAGAGAUGGUGCCAAGCCCUCAGAGGACCUCAGAUGUUGCUAACCCUGAAACAACAAUUUUGCUUUAAGUUUGGUUGCAUCAUAUAAUAAUUGCUGUUAAUAGUGUUCAUCAUCUGUUAGAUUACGUCUUUAAUUGAUUUUUCCAUACAUUUCUGCCAUAUGCACAUAAACUGACAGUCACCACUGAUAAGCUACUACUAAAUAUUGUAGAAACGUAAUUUUCUGUAAAGUUGCUUUGCAGCAAUUUGUAUCAUAAAAAGCACUUUACAAAUAUACUUGAAUUGAAUUUUUGUUUUCGAUUUGAAUUAUUUUUGUUUUAAAGUAGUAAUUUAAAGAUUUCCAUAAGCCCUAUUCGGACGGUAAUUGUUUCUCAGGGGGACGCAAGUGAUUUUCACCAUUUACAAGGGGUUGUCUGUGAUUAUUUGCUGUCUGAAUCCAGGAUGUCAGUGUUUUUCUCUCACCACCCCCGUAAAAAUCCCCGGCCAAAUUUCCUACUGUUUUUUGACAAACACUGAGGUUGUGUGGUAAUUUAAUUGCCGUCUGAAUCCACAUCUCUGAGUUAACAAGAAGAAUUCAAUUCAAAAUUCAGUGCUUAAACCCUUUUUGAGCACUCCCGAACACCGUAAGGUACGUUAACUGUUGUACUUCGGUGUAAUUUGCAUACAUAUUUAUUUCUGAAAUGCUGGAAAGUAUUUAAAAGAACAUUACUUCAUAACUGCUCAAAGUGACUGGGAGCAGAAAGAGAAGAAAAGCACGCAAACAUUUUAAAUGGCUCUUUAUUAUGGCAGCAGCAAGUAUGCAAUACAGUUUUAAAAUGUGUAUUAUAAACGGAUAUAUAGACUAUAUUGCGUAUAAUUAUAUACAACUGUAGCGCGUCAUUUUAAACAGGAG